AGAAACUGGAAAUGUAUGUAAUUAUAGAUAAAGCUUUGGUAGGACUUAAUUCAUCAAGCUGAAGUUUUAGACAUCACAGUUAAAAAAUUGGGGGACUUAGAAAUUCAUUUGUGCUUUCCUGUUGCCUCCAUCAGUAUUUAUAAAAUACUUGAAGGAUGCCAAAUUUCUCUUGCAUCUUAGGCUUGACAAAGAAAUAUAUAUGAUUCAAUUUGAUUGUACUUUGAGACACUUCAUUUGAAAUUUGAUGAAGAUAGUAUGUGUUAAUUAGACGCCAGUAAAAAUAUGGAUGCAGAAUUACGCACUUCAUGCAGAGCAACUGUGGGCUACUGCCACUGACUGGCUUGGCAGUGAUCCUAGUUGGAAAUGAGAGUUUACCAAAGCGAGCUGUCGGAGAUUCAGCCCGGUGCCAUGACAAACUGGGGUGCGUUUGGGAUUACCUGUCGAGCCGUCGCUGCCCCCCCCGGAUGCAGGAUUUCCCCUCAGCUUGAGAUUUGCGGUCCCUGCGCCCACCCAACGCUUGGAUCUCCUCAUGGGUCGAGCCUGACACCUUCCGUUCCUCGAGGAGAGCAAUGUGUCAGUAGAAGUUUCUGACUUCUGGCGUCGGCCGUGAUAUUCAUCCCUACUAGCUGCGGAGUUGGCUGUUGUGUGGUUCUUGCCAGCCAGAGCCCCUCAGCCGGCAGCUGCCCCGUGCCUGUGCCCCUGCCGGCAAGGCGGGCAGCGCCUCGUUGCUCCGAGGAGGACGGUGUGCCGGAGGCAGCCAUCGGGUUGACGGUGUUUGGAGCCGUCAGUGCAUCCCCUCAGCGCACGCUGUGCGCUGUCAGGGUCAGAUGCGGA
Long non-coding RNA from Gymnogyps californianus (California condor), 834 nucleotides. RefSeq lists it as uncharacterized. The record is from RefSeq and is a predicted model, not a curated record. NCBI's taxonomy places the organism in Eukaryota, Metazoa, Chordata, Aves, Accipitriformes, Cathartidae. The transcript has 3 exons.